RNAcentral lists this ribosomal RNA (429 nucleotides) under uncultured bacterium. Its description in RNAcentral is "bacterial SSU rRNA". It matches the Rfam family "Bacterial small subunit ribosomal RNA", at positions 355 to 775 of the family's 1533-position model. The record is from RNAcentral.
UCGAGAGGCUUCGGCAAUGGGGGAAACCCUGACCGAGCGACGCCGCGUGGGGGAUGAAGGCCCUUGGGUUGUAAACCCCUUUUGUUCGGGAAGAAAUGCGAUCAGGUGAACAAUCUGGUCGUUUGACGGUACCGGACGAAUAAGCUCCGGCUAACUCCGUGCCAGCAGCCGCGGUAACACGGGGGGAGCAAGCGUUGUUCGGAAUCACUGGGCGUAAAGGGCGUGUAGGCGGUCAGGUAAGUGAAAUGUGAAAUGCCUCGGCUCACCCGAGGACCGGCAUCUCAUACUGCUUGGCUUGAGUACGGGAGAGGAUGUGGGAAUUCCUGGUGUAGCGGUGAAAUGCGUAGAUAUCAGGAGGAACACCGGUGGCGAAGGCGCACAUCUGGCCCGAUACUGACGCUGAGGCGCGAAAGCUAGGGGAGCAAACGG